AUUGAACGCUGGCGGCAUGCCUUACACAUGCAAGUCGAACGGUAACGCGGGGCAACCUGGCGACGAGUGGCGAACGGGUGAGUAAUAUAUCGGAACGUGCCCAAUAGUGGGAGAUAGCCCGGCGAAAGCCGGAUUAAUACCGCAUACGACCUGAGGGUGAAAGCGGGGGAUCGCAAGACCUCGCGCUAUUGGAGCGGCCGAUAUCAGAUUAGGUAGUUGGUGGGGUAAAAGCCUACCAAGCCUACGAUCUGUAGCUGGUCUGAGAGGACGACCAGCCACACUGGGACUGAGACACGGCCCAGACUCCUACGGGAGGCAGCAGUGGGGAAUUUUGGACAAUGGGCGCAAGCCUGAUCCAGCCAUGCCGCGUGCGGGAAGAAGGCC
RNAcentral lists this ribosomal RNA (384 nucleotides) under uncultured bacterium. RNAcentral describes it as "bacterial SSU rRNA". It matches the Rfam family "Bacterial small subunit ribosomal RNA", at positions 29 to 416 of the family's 1533-position model. The record is from RNAcentral.